This 77-nucleotide non-coding RNA is filed under the name Primorskyibacter flagellatus. The record is from RNAcentral. Lineage: Bacteria; Pseudomonadati; Pseudomonadota; Alphaproteobacteria; Rhodobacterales; Roseobacteraceae.
ACGCCUCUGCGUGGCGAUUUGUUACCGGAUUGUGGGCCACGUAAAAUAUGCCGCUAAAAGGUCAGGAUGAAGGAGAC